GUCGAACGAUGAAGCCCAGCUUGCUGGGUGGAAGAGUGGCGAACGGGUGAGUAACACGUGAGUAACCUGCCCUGAACUCUGGGAUAAGCACUGGAAACGGUGUCUAAUACUGGAUACGACCUAUCACCGCAUGGUGUGUAGGUGGAAAGAUUUAUCGGUUCUGGAUGGACUCGCGGCCUAUCAGCUAGAUGGUGAGGUAAUGGCUCACCAUGGCGACGACGGGUAGCCGGCCUGAGAGGGUGACCGGCCACACUGGGACUGAGACACGGCCCAGACUCCUACGGGAGGCAGCAGUGGGGAAUAUUGCACAAUGGGCGCAAGCCUGAUGCAGCAACGCCGCGUGAGGGAUGACGGCCUUCGGGUUGUAAACCUCUUUUAGUAGGGAAGAAGCGAAAGUGACGGUACCUGCAGAAAAAGCACCGGCUAACUACGUGCCAGCAGCCGCGGUAAUACGUAGGGUGCAAGCGUUGUCCGGAAUUAUUGGGCGUAAAGAGCUCGUAGGCGGCUUGUCGCGUCUGCUGUGAAAUCCCGGGGCUCAACCCCGGGCCUGCAGUGGGUACGGGCAAGCUAGAGUGCGGUAGGGGAGAUUGGAAUUCCUGGUGUAGCGGUGGAAUGCGCAGAUAUCAGGAGGAACACCGAUGGCGAAGGCAGAUCUCUGGGCCGCUACUGACGCUGAGGAGCGAAAGCAUGGGGAGCGAACAGGAUUAGAUAC
RNAcentral lists this ribosomal RNA (712 nucleotides) under Leucobacter aridicollis. RNAcentral's name for it is "bacterial SSU rRNA". It matches the Rfam family "Bacterial small subunit ribosomal RNA", at positions 61 to 785 of the family's 1533-position model. The record is from RNAcentral. Lineage: Bacteria; Bacillati; Actinomycetota; Actinomycetes; Micrococcales; Microbacteriaceae.